This 695-nucleotide long non-coding RNA is filed under the name Olea europaea subsp. europaea. The record is from RNAcentral. Lineage: Eukaryota; Viridiplantae; Streptophyta; Magnoliopsida; Lamiales; Oleaceae.
ACUUUUUCUACUUGAAAACUUUUUUAGCUUCNCAAGCAGGGGUGGUGGCAGUACCAGGGUGCGGUUUUUUCCAUACCAGUUCAUCUGCGGAGGACUCUUCUCAGGCUGCACUUGGCUACCAGAGAAGAUAUAUCAGAUUUGCAUUCUGCAAAAGCCAGGAUACAUUGGCUGCUGCUUCAAAGAAGAUUAGUGGGCUUCUCGAUGGUACAGGAAAUUUCAAGCUACUUUAAGUUGCUUAGUUUUAUAUGAUGGAGCUGCUAUAAGGAUCUUAGAACUUGAAAACAUAGUCAAGUUACAUUUUAAUCGACUUAAUCUAGAUGGUAAAGGUAUGAAGUAGUUUGUAAGAGACUUAAGAGAAAUGUGUGGAAUCUUGGGAGCAUUUGAGCAUGGAUCUUAAAAUUUCUGAUGACUGAAUCCUAGAAUUUGAGAUCCUUCAUUGUCAUGAGCAAUCUGAGAGGUUUUACCAUGACUUUGCUCAUGUCAAAUAUGAAUGAAAGAUUGCUGAAGUUUUCUUGCGAUUCAGCCAGCUAACAAUUUCUUGUUUACGUGAAUCAUUCUUGUCAUAGAGAACAUUCAAUAAAAAAAACAUUGGAAUUCUGCACUAUGGUUUGUCUAGUUUGGCUUAUAAAUAUGAUCAGAAAGAAUGUCUCACUCCUUCAUGCUUCUUUGAGAGUGAUUAAUGUGUAAGUAAUGAG